UACGUAGGAUCCAAGCGUUAUCCGGAAUUACUGGGCGUAAAGCGUGCGCAGGCGGUUUUGUAAGUCAGAUGUGAAAUCCCCGGGCUUAACCUGGGAACUGCGUUUGAAACUACAAGGCUAGAGUGUGGCAGAGGGGGGUGGAAUUCCACGUGUAGCAGUGAAAUGCGUAGAGAUGUGGAGGAACACCGAUGGCGAAGGCAGCCCCCUGGGUUAACACUGACGCUCAGGCACGAAAGCGUGGGGAGCAAACAGG
Molecule: ribosomal RNA, 253 nt
Filed under: uncultured bacterium
Lineage: Bacteria
Description: partial 16S ribosomal RNA
Rfam family: Bacterial small subunit ribosomal RNA
Source: RNAcentral